GGGCCGGACUACACGAGCCGUGGACUCAUAAUCCAUUGGUCGCGGGUUCGAGCCCCGCCCGCCCCACAA
Molecule: transfer RNA, 69 nt
Filed under: Nocardia cyriacigeorgica
Lineage: Bacteria; Bacillati; Actinomycetota; Actinomycetes; Mycobacteriales; Nocardiaceae
Description: tRNA-Met
Rfam family: tRNA
About the family: Transfer RNA (tRNA) molecules are approximately 80 nucleotides in length. Their secondary structure includes four short double-helical elements and three loops (D, anti-codon, and T loops).
Source: RNAcentral